Molecule: transfer RNA, 67 nt
Filed under: Marmota monax (woodchuck)
Lineage: Eukaryota; Metazoa; Chordata; Mammalia; Rodentia; Sciuridae
Description: tRNA.Val
Source: RNAcentral
GGUUGUGGCUCAGUGGUACAGCGUUUGACUGACAUGUAUGGGGCCCUGGGUUCGAUUCUCAGCACCA